AACGUAGGAGGCGAGCGUUAUCCGGAUUCACUGGGCGUAAAGCGUGCGUAGGCGGUUGGGUAAGUCGGACGUGAAAGCCCCUGGCUCAACUGGGGGAGGUCGUUCGAUACUGCUUGGCUUGAGGAUGAGAGAGGAAAGCGGAAUUCCCGGUGUAGCGGUGGAAUGCGUAGAGAUCGGGAGGAACACCAGUGGCGAAAGCGGCUUUCUGGCUCAUUUCUGACGCUGAGUGCACGAAAGCGUGGGGA
Molecule: ribosomal RNA, 245 nt
Filed under: uncultured bacterium
Lineage: Bacteria
Description: partial 16S ribosomal RNA
Rfam family: Bacterial small subunit ribosomal RNA
Source: RNAcentral